This 231-nucleotide non-coding RNA is filed under the name Massilia sp. RNAcentral also lists the same sequence under 1 other name. The record is from RNAcentral. Lineage: Bacteria; Pseudomonadati; Pseudomonadota; Betaproteobacteria; Burkholderiales; Oxalobacteraceae.
UAUAAUGCCCGCCGUUCUGGUGCCCGCGCAGGCUCUCCGCCUGCGCAGUUAAACGGGAAACACGAGGCCGCCGCGCUCCGCGCCGCGGCCAAGGUGUGCUGCCCCCGCAACGGUCAACAAGCGUCGCCGCCCCCGGCGACAGGCCGCCUCGACAACCACUGUGCCCGCGCAUAGGAAGGUGAGGCAGUCGGUCUUGCCAGCCCGGAUACCGGCCAGGACAGGUGAACGGCC